This 460-nucleotide ribosomal RNA is filed under the name uncultured bacterium. RNAcentral's name for it is "partial 16S ribosomal RNA". It matches the Rfam family "Bacterial small subunit ribosomal RNA", at positions 338 to 795 of the family's 1533-position model. The record is from RNAcentral.
CCUACGGGUGGCAGCAGUGAGGAAUAUUGGUCAAUGGGCGCGAGCCUGAACCAGCCAAGUAGCGUGAAGGAUGACUGCCCUACGGGUUGUAAACUUCUUUUAUAAAGGAAUAAAGUGAGGCACGUGUGCCUUUUUGUAUGUACUUUAUGAAUAAGGAUCGGCUAACUCCGUGCCAUCAGCCGCGGUAAUACGGAGGAUCCGACCGUUAUCCGGAUUUAUUGGGUUUAAAGGGAGCGUAGAUGGGUUGGUAAGUUAGUUGUGAAAGUUUGCGGCUCAACCGUAAAAUUGCAAUUGAUACUGGCAGUCUUGAGUACAGUUGAGGUAGGCGGAAUUCGUGGUGUAGCGGUGAAAUGCUUAGAUAUCACGAAGAACACCGAUGGCGAAGGCAGCUUACUAAACUGCCACUGACAUUGAUGCUCGAAAGUGUGGGUAUCAAACAGGAUUAGAUACCCUGGUAGUC